GACGAACGCUGGCGGCGUGCUUAACACAUGCAAGUCGAACGCUGAAGCUUGGUGCUUGCACUGGGUGGAUGAGUGGCGAACGGGUGAGUAAUACGUGAGUAACCUGCCCUUGACUCUGGGAUAAGCCUGGGAAACUGGGUCUAAUACUGGAUACGACAUGCCACUGCAUGGUGGUGUGUGGAAAGGGUUUUACUGGUUUUGGAUGGGCUCACGGCCUAUCAGCUUGUUGGUGGGGUAAUGGCCUACCAAGGCGACGACGGGUAGCCGGCCUGAGAGGGUGACCGGCCAAACUGGGACUGGGAAACGGCCCAGACUCCUACGGGAGGCAGAAGGGGGGAAUAUUGCACAAUGGGCGGAAGCCUGAUGCAGCGACGCCGCGGGAGGGAGGACGGCCUUCGGGUUGUAAACCUCUUUCAGCACGGAAGAAGCGAGAGGGACGGUACGUGCAGAAGAAGCGCCGGCUAACUACGU
This 471-nucleotide ribosomal RNA is filed under the name uncultured bacterium. RNAcentral's name for it is "partial 16S ribosomal RNA". It matches the Rfam family "Bacterial small subunit ribosomal RNA", at positions 28 to 506 of the family's 1533-position model. The record is from RNAcentral.